GACGAACGCUGGCGGCGUGCUUAACACAUGCAAGUCGAACGGGCCUGUCUUCUUUUUUGGGGGUGGGUUGAGUGGCGAACGGGUGAGUAUCACGUGAGUAACCUGCCCUUCGGUCCUGGAUAACCGCUUGAAAGGGCGGCUAAUACGGGGUGGUCCGGUUGGUCCGCAUGGGCUGGUCGGGAUAGAUUCACUGUUUUUGGUGUUUCGGCGGGGGAUGGGCUCGCGGCCUAUCAGCUUGUUGGUGGGGUGAUGGCCUACCAAGGCGGUGACGGGUAGCCGGCCUGAGAGGGUGGGCGGCCACACUGGGACUGGGAUACGGCCCAGACUCCUGCGGGAGGCAGCAGUGGGGGGUAUUGCACAAUGGGCGGAAGCCUGAUGCAGCGACGUCGCGUGAGGGAGGGAGGCCUUCGGGUUGUGAACCUCUGUUUCCGGUGGUGAAGGCCCUGUCCGUGUGGUGGGGUUGACGGUAGCCGGGGAUGAAGCGCCGGCUAACUACGUG
RNAcentral lists this ribosomal RNA (499 nucleotides) under uncultured bacterium. RNAcentral's name for it is "partial 16S ribosomal RNA". It matches the Rfam family "Bacterial small subunit ribosomal RNA", at positions 28 to 507 of the family's 1533-position model. The record is from RNAcentral.